Molecule: ribosomal RNA, 218 nt
Filed under: uncultured bacterium
Lineage: Bacteria
Description: partial 16S ribosomal RNA
Rfam family: Bacterial small subunit ribosomal RNA
Source: RNAcentral
AAUCAACGCUGGCGGCGUGCCUCAGACAUGCAAGUCGAACGCGAAAGGCCCCGUUCGGGGGCCGAGUAGAGUGGCGUCCGGGUGAGUAACACGUGGGUAAUCUACCUUCGGGUGGGGAAUAACGACCGGAAACGGUCGCUAAUACCGCAUAAUGCAGCGGCACCUAAUGGUGACAGUUGUUAAAGCGGGGGAUCGCAAGACCUCGCGCCUGAAGAGGA